Long non-coding RNA from Pygocentrus nattereri (red-bellied piranha), 1526 nucleotides. NCBI's taxonomy places the organism in Eukaryota, Metazoa, Chordata, Actinopteri, Characiformes, Serrasalmidae. The record is from Ensembl.
GUUUUGAUGGAGCUCAUCUAGGCAGCAAGAGUUAAUUGAUGUUAAUAGUGUUGUUUUUGCUGUGAGUUGCUGUUUGUGUCUGAUUUUCUAAGGAGGAAGAAGUUCAGCUUGACUGCAGUCGAGAACAUGGGAAGACUUCUGCUGCUGCACUUGAUUUUUCAUGACUAUUUUUCUUCUUUUCAAAUCCUGGUAGUAACCUUUAAUCAAAACAGUGGUUUGUAGAGUACUGAUGGGUAAAAUUUAAAAUAGAGAAAAAAAGAAUUAAAAUACAACAUGUUUAGUUGUAACAACUGACCCAUAACAAAUUUUAUUUCUGGCACACAGGCAUCCUGUUUAGUGGUACUUGGACAUGGUCAGUAACAAUGCCAAGGAGUAUUAAAGGCCUAUACGGUUCCUGCUUGGUUAUACCAUGUAGUUACUCCUACGACUCAGAUCCACCUACAAACCCUCAUCGAGUCGUGUGGUAUCAGUAUGUUAGUCGUGGAUACCCUUUAGUGUAUGAUAGUUGGUACCCUGGAUCAGUGAUUGACAAGUUCAGAGGAAAAACCAGUUUAUAUGGAAGCCCAUUCUGGAGGAGCUGCAGCCUCCUGAUUGAGCACCUUGAUCAAUCCCACCAUGGAGAAAAACUUUAUGCCUGGAUAGACCCGGAAAAUGUUGGAUACAGAUUCUAUGAUGUUACCAGUACGAUUUAUAUUGAAACAUCAGCACAACCACCCAGCAUUGACAUUUAUGGAGGAAACCAAAUUGGGGAAACUGUCACUGUUCAGUGCAGCACAUACCACACCUGCCCUUACAGAAAUCCCACUCUGACUCUGAGCGGGAUAGAAGGAACUGAUGACAGCCCAGAACACACAGACAUUGGAAGUGGCACCUGGAAAAUCACACUGAUACGCACAGGGAUUGUUACGUCUGUUAAUUACAGAGUUGACUGUGUGGUCAGACAUCCUGGUGGCCUCUCAGCUUCAGCUACUAAAACACACACUGCGACAUGUCCCAUUUACACACCCCAGAUUACACCUGAUUCCAGCACAGAGUUUCUUGAGGGAGUGGAAACAGACAUUGUUUGCUCGGUUAUGUACAAGUGCCCCGGAGAUCAACCUUACAUCACCUGGAAUGGUGGACAGUUACCUGGCAGCAUGCUUCUUGUACCAGGAGCACAACAGGAAGCUAGAUCAACACUAAAAUUCACUGCAAGGGCUACUGACCAUAGGAAAGUCCUUACCUGCUUCGUAGAAUUUAAAGGAAGUGUUCAAACAGUCAGAAUUACUUUAAAAGUGAAGCAUAAGUAAAAAACUUAACAUUAUUCAACAUGGACCUAGUACAGUUAGUGUGUUAACUUUCAGCUAGUAUGUUAUCUUGUGGGUACAAUGGCAUAUCCACUUCUCUUUUCACACAGCACCAUUCUCUGUCAUUCACUAGAGCUAGAAAAAACAGCUAAUUUCAGUGCUAUGGUUAUUAAGUUGAACUGAGAUGAAUAUACCUUUAUGUAAAAAAGAGCUUUAAUACUACAGAAAUUUAAACAGAAC